GUGAGUGUAGCUCAGUUGGUUAGAGCACCAGAUUGUGGUUCUGGGGGUCGGGGGUUCGAAUCCCCCCGCUCCGAC
RNAcentral lists this transfer RNA (75 nucleotides) under Candidatus Scalindua arabica. RNAcentral's name for it is "tRNA-His". It matches the Rfam family "tRNA". Rfam says of the family: Transfer RNA (tRNA) molecules are approximately 80 nucleotides in length. Their secondary structure includes four short double-helical elements and three loops (D, anti-codon, and T loops). Further hydrogen bonds mediate the characteristic L-shaped molecular structure. tRNAs have two regions of fundamental functional importance: the anti-codon, which is responsible for specific mRNA codon recognition, and the 3' end, to which the tRNAs corresponding amino acid is attached (by aminoacyl-tRNA synthetases). tRNAs cope with the degeneracy of the genetic code in two manners: having more than one tRNA (with a specific anti-codon) for a particular amino acid; and 'wobble' base-pairing, i.e. permitting non-standard base-pairing at the 3rd anti-codon position. The record is from RNAcentral. Lineage: Bacteria; Pseudomonadati; Planctomycetota; Candidatus Brocadiia; Candidatus Brocadiales; Candidatus Scalinduaceae.